This 497-nucleotide ribosomal RNA is filed under the name uncultured bacterium. RNAcentral describes it as "partial 16S ribosomal RNA". It matches the Rfam family "Bacterial small subunit ribosomal RNA", at positions 28 to 507 of the family's 1533-position model. The record is from RNAcentral.
GAUGAACGCUGGCGGCGUGCCUAAUACAUGCAAGUCGAGCGAACAGACGAGGAGCUUGCUCCUCUGACGUUAGCGGCGGACGGGUGAGUAACACGUGGAUAACCUACCUAUAAGACUGGGAUAACUUCGGGAAACCGGAGCUAAUACCGUAUAAUAUAUUGAACCGCAUGGUUCAAUGGUGAAAGACGGUUUUGCUGGCACUUAUAGAUGGAUCCCCGCCGCAUUAGCUAGUUGGUAGGUUAACGGCUUACCAAGGCAACGAUGCGUAUCCGACCGGGGAGGGGGAUCGGCGACACUAGAACGUGGACAGGGACAAGAGUACUACGGGAGGCAGCAGAAGGGUAUCUGCGGCAGUGGGCGAAAACCUGACGGAGCAACGGCGCGUGAGUGAUGAAGGUCUUCGGAUCGUAAAACUCUGUUAUUAGGGAAGAACAGAUGUGUAAGUAAAUAUGCACGGCUUGACGGUAACUAAUCAGAAAGCCACGGCUAACUACGUG